CGGCUCAGUAACACGUGGACAACCUACCCUAUGGAGGGGGAUAACCCCGGGAAACUGGGGAUAAUACCCCAUAGACUAUAGAUGCUGGAAUGCUUUGUAGUUGAAAGGUCAGCCGCCAUAGGAUGGGUCUGCGGCCGAUUAGGUUGUUGUCGGGGUAACGGCCCAACAAGCCUGUAAUCGGUACGGGUUGUGGGAGCAAGAGCCCGGAGAUGGAUUCUGAGACACGAAUCCAGGCCCUACGGGGCGCAGCAGGCGCGAAAACUUUACAAUGCGGGAAACCGUGAUAAGGGAACUCCGAGUGCCCGUAAAAUCGGGCUGUCCAUCUGUUUAAAUAACAGGUGAAGAAAGGGCCGGGCAAGACCGGUGCCAGCCGCCGCGGUAAUACCGGCGGCUCGAGUGGUGGCCACUAUUACUGGGCUUAAAGCGUUCGUAGCUGGUCUGUUAAGUCUCUGGGGAAAUCUACUGGCUUAACCAAUAGGCGUCUCAGGGAUACUGGCAGACUAGGGACCGGGAGAGGUGAGAGGUACUCCAGGGGUAGGAGUGAAAUCCUGUAAUCCUUGGGGGACCACCUGUGGCGA
Molecule: ribosomal RNA, 578 nt
Filed under: uncultured Methanoregula sp.
Lineage: Archaea; Methanobacteriati; Methanobacteriota; Methanomicrobia; Methanomicrobiales; Methanoregulaceae
Description: bacterial SSU rRNA
Rfam family: Archaeal small subunit ribosomal RNA
Source: RNAcentral